UAGUCACACUGUUUGAUCUAUUAAAGACUUACCUCCAUUUUCUUUUUUUGUCUUUUCCAUUCUCUUUUUUGAAAUUUUCCCUGUGCUGUUUAUCCUUUCAGAUUGAUUAAAAGUCUCUUUUAUGACUGCUUUCUGUCAGUCCUCAUUUUCUCAAUCUUUCCCUGACAUUAUCUCUGCUCAUCAGUAUGAAUUGUUUCCGUGGCUCUUCCUUCCAGUAGACAGAACUACCUUAGGAAAAGGGCCUUCUCUCACAGCUUCUGCCUUUAACAGAACAUGGUGUAGAUGUGUUCUGGGUGUAAUGUGUUCAGAGGCCUGUUAGGUAAAUGGGUACAACACAGUGUGGGCAAAGAACCUUUACAAAAGAGUUAAGGAUACAGUUCCCUAGAUGACUACGAUAAGUGUACACUAACUGGUGUACCUUAGGAGUGCUACAAAGUAAACCUAAAUUAGAACAACCAAGACGUGGAGUGGGCCCUGAGGAUGACUCAUAAUAAGAACUAUACUUUUAGUGUUUACUUGGUAUCAGCACCCUGCUGAUAAGGAGGGUCUCCUUCAAUUUUCACUCUUACCUUGAGUCAUUGCCAUUUUAUCAGUGAAGAAAGGUUUAUUUGGAUAAAAUGGAAGCAAUCAGUAAGUAGUAAAAUAGAUAUUCUAGAUCUAUCUGAAUAUCUAAAUGAAGGCUCCUAACCGCUGUGCCUCUAAGUUUGAACAUUUGGGGUUUCUCUACUCCCUCCCCUUGGUAGGACUAGGGGAUGGGAUGGGAUAGGUCUCCAGGCUUACUUUUCUAAGGACAUCAGGAAAUACAUGAAUUUUGUAUCUUUUGGUGUUUGCCCCAUAAGGAAAUGUGGACAAGUAGGCUUGAAGAUCUGUGACCAUUUAAACUUUGUAUACAGAAUACUUUACCAGUAUGACCUUGGGCAAGAUUGUUAGCCACUACAAGGCAGUCUCCUCCUUUGUUGUAAAAGGUGUUAUACUUCGUUAAUAAGGUGAUGUAGUAAGUGAGAAACUAUGCAAAGUACCUACCUUUCCACCUCACUGUGUAAGUGUUCUUUGACUUAGGAGCCGGACCUCUGGUUGGUUCUAAGUCCUAUGAGUGCUCUCACUGUCCCUGAAUGCAAAAUUAGAGUUCCAGUGGCCUUCGAGAGUACUUUUUCCCCUCCCUUUCUAUUAAGGGUGGCUUUUUAAAUUUUCAGAAAUCACUCCAGAAGGACAGGAAUAACUUACAACUUAAUGUUAAUUAAAUUACUGGCUAAGACCUUGAGCUUCUUUCAUGUUGAUAUAAACCAGUGAGGUUGGCGAUGUUCUCUUUCUAUUGUAUGGAGAGAGAGAUUCUGAGUUGGCUAGUCCAAGCUAGUGGUGUGUCUGGAAAAGCCUUAAAUUGAAAUCUAGUCUUUAUUCUGAGUUCUGUUUGUCAUCAUGGGAUUUAGAUGUUAUAACGGUCCAGAGUAAGAAUGGGACAUGUGUUCAUAUAGGGAGAAGAUGGAGACCUAGAUGGAAGAGGAAGCAGGAUGCCAAGGCAGAAUUCACUCAAACUUUAUUCAAAGCCUUGCUUUCAUUUAAAUAAUCUCAUAGGUGGUCUUUGUAGGUUUCUGGCCCUGGUUCAGACUGUUCUAGGAAAAUCAGAGGCACAUUGUUUUAGUUCCAAAAGUCAUUUUGGUAAUCUCUAUUGCUGUACUAGGAACUAAUCCUACUGGGCCUGGGUUAACCCUUCGUAAAAUUCAUCAGUUCAAACUCAAAGGCCUCUAGCACAGAGAGUUUCCUGUCUGGUGGGAACUAUUGCUAUUAAGUGGCAUUUGGUUUUAAAAUGUUACCUUGUCCAAUUUCAAGUUUAUUUUGUUUAAAACAAGUUUUAAAAAUACAAUGUAAGUGCUGGAAAGGACUUAGGCAAACAUAGGUAGUCUAGUCUUUAAUACAACACUGGAGAAUUUGAAAAAGGAAAACAAAAGUAAAGUGUUUGUUGUUUUGUUUUAAGAAAUAACAAUUUACCUAUUUAGUGAGUAUUGAAAUUGAAAGCUUUUUUUUGUUAUGUUUCUGGUUUUGUGUGUGUGUGUGGAUGCAGUGUUAGAAAAUUCUAAUUUUUGCAAUUAAAGUCCUUCUGUGGAAGGUUGUAGUCAUUUAAAAAAUAAAGUCUAUAUUAUCCUGUAGCCUUUCCUGUUGCCCAACAAUUACUAAACACAGUAAAUAGCAAGCACUAUAUUAGAGAGGCUAGUGAUAGGAGCAGGGUGAUACAAAGGAGAAUCAAGUAAUCUCAAGGAAUUUCUAGCCUAAUAGAAUAUCAUUAGACAGUUUGAAGUUUAUAAACUCAGGCAAUAAGAUGGACAGUGCCAACACUUUAGGAGUUAGUAGGCUCCGAUUCUGUUUUCUCCCUUUUGGCCUAACAAAGUCUCGGGAGGUUGUGGAGAUCCUUAUUCUCACAAAUCAUUAAAUUAUUUGACAAAUCCCUGAAUCUGUAGAAAACUGGGUAUAGGGCCUAUAAGAAAAAUGUAAUUGUUAGAAAUUGUUUUCAGGAAUUUAAGGUCAGCUAGGAAUUUGUUCCUAGAAAAAAAUGUAAGGUAAAUUCUUAAUUUGUUACUCAAACUGAGUAAAACACUUUUCCCCUAGAAUUUAUGGAAAAUUUAAUCUGGGCAGCCUGAACCACAACAGGAUUGUCUUUCUCAUUGAGCACAGGUUUUACAGCUUUUGUUAUUUUUUUAUUGUUUGGCCUGGGUGCGCUAGAGUGAUAAUAGAAGUUAAUAAAUCUUCCUCUUAAAAUUUCUUAGACCAGUGGUCAGCUCUCCAGCCACGGUUUGCCACUAUGUUGACUGAUGAAUUUGCCGACCACUGUCUUAAACAAUUGAGGUCUGUCUGGUACAUUUCAGAAGAAAUUUAAGUAAUUGUGCUUGGUUCUCUGUCUCUCCCCCUUCCCUAUCACUCUUCAUCCCUUCCAUUUGUAAAGCUAAAUAUUUAGACACAAACUUUGACAGUUGAGCACAAAAAUUUAGAUUGACUAUUCUUAAACUGAUGGAAUGUUAUAAAAGGAACUCCUUAGAACUGUCUGUUGCAGAGGAUUAUUUGGAACUGACCUGUGGGGGAUUUCUGUACAUCCACCUUUCAAAGUCCCCGUUUUUUCCUCUUACCCACACUUCUAGCACAAUGUGUGUGGAACUGUAGGUUCUUAAUAAAUGCUUGAAUGUUGUAAUCUGUAUCUUCUUGAAUAGCAGAGCUGUCAAGCGUUACUUAACAGUGAAAUGUUUAAGGACUUACUUGGAAAUCAAGAUAUGAGAUUAAUGCACCAAAGCCAUAUCAUUUCUUAAUUGCUUAAGAUCAAUUAUUUCAAAGGAUAUUUUUUAAAAUUUCUCUUAAGGCUGGAAUUUCUAAACUAAUGCCCUUUGUUCAGACCAGCCUCUGAGAAUAAGAAAAAUUAAGGCAAGAUAGUAUUUAAAUUUUUGAUGAAAAGUUGGCAUUUUCUGUAUGUUAAUGUUAGAUAUAAGCUGCUGAACUUUCUGGGGGUAUAGGACUUAACUAAAGCUUCCAACAUCAAUGGUACAAAAUUGUUUGAACUUGCAAUAAAAUUUUGAUGGCCUUUUUUCCCUAUUAAGGUGAAAAAGGAGUCCAUAUAGAUGAAGGAAUUCAUGUAGCCAUGCCUCAAAGCCAGUUUAUUCACCUAGAACUUUUUAAAAAAAUCAUUGGUAGUUAAUGAAGGGACUUAACAAUUGCAUUUAUUAUUUUUUUGCUAGUUUUCUGAUUUAUUAAUACUGAUUUCUUGGAAAAUUGGAAAAUUUCCGAAAAGUAAAUAUUCAGUAUCUUGUUAUCCAACUAUAUAAAGAUAACAGCAGUUAAAUGUUUGGUGCAUUUUUAUCCAGUUUUUUUUCCCCAAUGUAUAAAUAUUAAAAUUAUUUCAUAGUUGAGAUCAUACUGCAUAUGUGGUACUGUAUCUUGCUUUUUUUCAUUUUAACAUGAGCAUUUUCCCAUGGCAUUGAAACUGUCUUUGAAAAAUUGAAAGCAUUUUGGGCUGUCAGCAUAACUGAAAAUGUUUUCUUGGUGUGACACAUGUAUCUUUGUAAUUGAUUUGAUUUAGUGUGCUUUGCUUCAAUAAAAGUUCAGUAUUAAAAUUUCCAGAUUGGGUGGGGAGUGGUCUACUUCAAAUUACCAAAAUCUUCCUAGUAGAAUUUCUUUUUCAAUGAUUGAACUCCCCACCACACUUACACACAGUGCUUUUUGCUUAAAGCCUCUGAACACAACUUUGUGAAAAGAGAGGGCUACCAUUUGAAUAGUGCAAUUCAUUUCAAAUGCAUGAAUAGCAGUUUCUUAGAGUUCAGUUAGGAUGUUAACCACUUUGUUCUAGUUGUGGAGAUUUCAAAUCCCCCCCUUUCUGCUGGAGGCGAGAAAACUGGUGGAGCAGAUCUGCAGAGGGUCCUGAACCUGUCUUGCUGAGUAAAUCAAUAGUAAUAACCGUCUGCCUUCUCUUUCAGGGCUAGCCCUCACAGGGCUGGGUGUGGGGUGUGGUAAGCAAAUAGAGUGUGUAGACCUGGCUUCCAGGCCAGGGGCUGCUGGUGGAGGAAGGAGGUGGAUUGGUUUUGUAUUUGCUCUUUCACUGCCUAUAUGUGACCUAACUAUGUGUUGGUAAGCUGGAAUCACAUGUAAUUCUCAAAACAGGAUUUUCUUAUUAUUCGAAGCAUGAACUUGAUAUGAAAAUAAUAGUUAAUAUGCUGCUUUUAACAAUUUACCAUGUAACCUAGAUUCCUGUAACCUGGACUUGUAACUUUGUUUUAGCUCCAGUGGGAGCUUUCUUUUCAAAGUAUGAUUAAAUUCUAAUUUUUCUCCCUCAUUUCUUCACUAAUCAUUUAAAAUGGAUGCAGAAACUUUGAAACUGAUAAAGUUUAUCUUGUAUUAGGCAAUUUAGACUUUUCUGUCUAAUCAUACUACUUGUUCUAUUGCUUUUUGUCAAUUGAUAUUCCCAUAGCCCAUUUGAAAAAGUGUGUUUUUGUUGGUUGUAUGCCCUUGGGCUAUGCAACUUCAUUUUUAGUUCUGAAGCAUGUCUGGAUUCUCUGUACUUGUAUAGGCCUGAUUGUUCAUGUGGCUUAGCUUUCUAAGCUUAAGGUUUCUAAAGCAUCUUCUAGUAGCUGUCAUUGGUUUAUUAAAUAAAAUUUGGGCUGUUUAAAAUACA
Molecule: long non-coding RNA, 5146 nt
Organism: Pipistrellus kuhlii (Kuhl's pipistrelle)
Lineage: Eukaryota; Metazoa; Chordata; Mammalia; Chiroptera; Vespertilionidae
Exons: 2
Source: RefSeq, a predicted model, not a curated record